Long non-coding RNA from Alosa sapidissima (American shad), 445 nucleotides. RefSeq lists it as uncharacterized. The transcript is spliced from 2 exons. The record is from RefSeq and is a predicted model, not a curated record. Lineage: Eukaryota; Metazoa; Chordata; Actinopteri; Clupeiformes; Clupeidae.
AUCUCUCUGAAACUCCGGAGCGUCUUUUUACUUGAACUGGUUUUUGGCUCGACUAAACUCUAACAAUGACCCAUUGGCCAAAACAAUCUAAGGAGUCCAGGAAACCGAAGAAACGUGACAAGAAGCGGACAAGGGCGUUUUCAAACUAUAUCUAUAAGCUUCAGAAAGAGGGUAGCCAUCCGAACGUGGACGUUACGGUGUUCCUGCCUAAAGGAGACGUUUCACGUGUUGCUGAGUUGGUUGGUGCUGAAGCAGCCCGGCUGUCGAAGUUCAACAAGCGGGGUGCCAUAACGCAGCGAGAGGUUCUCUCGGCACUGCAACGACUUCAGUGGGGGAAGGACGUUCACACCGCCCGAACAUGAGAUUUCAUGUCUAAUGUUUUUUAUAAAUGUUUCAGUGAUGUACAUUUUAUUUAGUGUUCAAUAAACGUCAAUAUACUUUUAAA